RNAcentral lists this ribosomal RNA (445 nucleotides) under uncultured Arcobacter sp. RNAcentral describes it as "bacterial SSU rRNA". It matches the Rfam family "Bacterial small subunit ribosomal RNA", at positions 39 to 490 of the family's 1533-position model. Lineage: Bacteria; Pseudomonadati; Campylobacterota; Epsilonproteobacteria; Campylobacterales; Arcobacteraceae. The record is from RNAcentral.
UGCGGCCGCGUAUUAAUCAAGUGAACGGUCCAGGAUUAUUGCUAUCGCUGACAGCGGACGGGUGAGUAAUACUUAGGGAUCUGCCUCUGUGUGGGGGAUAACUAUUGGAAACGAUAGCUAAUACCGCAUAAUGUCUACGGACCAAAGCGGGCUUCGGCUCGUGCGCAGAGAGGAACCUAAGCGAGAUUAGCUAGUUGGUGAGGUAAAGGCUCACCAAUGCGACGAUCUCUAGCUGUUCUGAGAGGAAGAUCAGCCACACUGGAACUGAGACACGGUCCAGACUCCUACGGGAGGCAGCAGUGGGGAAUAUUGCACAAAUGGGGGGAAACCCUGAUGCAGACAUGCCGCGUGUUUGAAGAAAGCCUUCGGGGUUGUAAAGCACUUUCAGUUUGUCAAGAAAGUUAAUAAGUUAAUACUGCUAGAUGUUGCGUUAGCAACAAAGAAG